UGCUUCUAUGACGUUAGCGGCGGACGGGUGAGUAACACGUGGGCAACCUGCCUGUAAGACUGGGAUAACUCCGGGAAACCGGAGCUAAUACCGGAUAACAUUUUCUCUUGCAUAAGAGAAAAUUGAAAGAUGGUUUCGGCUAUCACUUACAGAUGGGCCCGCGGUGCAUUAGCUAGUUGGUGAGGUAACGGCUCACCAAGGCAACGAUGCAUAGCCGACCUGAGAGGGUGAUCGGCCACACUGGGACUGAGACACGGCCCAGACUCCUACGGGAGGCAGCAGUAGGGAAUCUUCCGCAAUGGACGAAAGUCUGACGGAGCAACGCCGCGUGAGUGAUGAAGGCUUUCGGGUCGUAAAACUCUGUUGUUAGGGAAGAACAAGUACAAGAGUAACUGCUUGUACCUUGACGGUACCUAACCAGAAAGCCACGGCUAACUACGUGCCAGCAGCCGCGGUAAUACGUAGGUGGCAAGCGUUAUCCGGAAUUAUUGGGCGUAAAGCGCGCGCAGGCGGUUUCUUAAGUCUGAUGUGAAAGCCCACGGCUCAACCGUGGAGGGUCAUUGGAAACUGGGGAACUUGAGUGCAGAAGAGAAAAGCGGAA
RNAcentral lists this ribosomal RNA (601 nucleotides) under Priestia flexa. RNAcentral's name for it is "bacterial SSU rRNA". It matches the Rfam family "Bacterial small subunit ribosomal RNA", at positions 79 to 666 of the family's 1533-position model. The record is from RNAcentral. Lineage: Bacteria; Bacillati; Bacillota; Bacilli; Caryophanales; Bacillaceae.